Molecule: long non-coding RNA, 193 nt
Organism: Penaeus monodon (black tiger shrimp)
Lineage: Eukaryota; Metazoa; Arthropoda; Malacostraca; Decapoda; Penaeidae
Exons: 2
Source: RefSeq, a predicted model, not a curated record
UCAACGGAACACCACCAGUAUACUUCAUAACAUCUGCGAGUGACGACACACACACCAACUCUUUAUCCUCUGGACACACCCUGCGAAAGCAGUAUCAGAUAGAUUUGCCUGUUGUGAGCGCCAUAACAAUAACCGAGCACUUGAAAACGCCUCAGGUUUUAUGCCAAAGACCACAGUUGCAUGAUUAAGGACG